CGGUUUUGAUAACGGAGGAGUGCGCCGAGGAGCUGUUGGCUUUUACAGCAGCCACGCCAUCGCUACGCGGGUUCGCUCGCGCCAGUCGCUACGGAUUGGCAUGUGUAGCGCGGAGGCGGACAUAAGCGCGUGUGCGCUCUGUGCGGACUCGAAAGCGGCGCCCAACAUCUGCGACGCCCUCGCGCACCAGGACGGAAAGGCAGAAUAACACCUGUUGUCGCCGCAUCAGGCGCACCGAGGUGCCGCUGGACACCCGCUUGCGGCGGCCAUGUCCGUCGAGCAAGGAGUCCGCGGCGGGUCGAUCAACAGCGACCUCCGGUGGGACUACGAGAGCGGAGACGCCGAUGAACCGCUCAUUCGAGGCAGCGAAAGCGGCGACGCUAUGCGUCUUUCGCCGUGGGCGCACAUCAGGAAGCACGCCUGGAUCGUGCCGGUUAUUUACACGCACCUCUGGGCGGCCGCCGUCAUCUCGCUCGUGGCGCCUUUCUUUCCGCCACUCGCCGAUUCCAGAGGCAUACCAGCAUGGAAAUAUGGCUUUUUCUUCUCAACAAUGAAACUCAUGAUGCUUCCAGGAGCUGUGAUAGCCGAAAAGUUGAUCUCGGGUGUCUCCGCCAGGGCUGGCUACCUAGGUGGACAAGUAGCCACUGCACUAUUCUCUGUCACAUGCGGUUUUCUCUACUGGAUAAAGAGCGGAAACGUACUUCUGGGCACAUCGUUGCUCAUGGCAGCGUUCGGCGGCUGCUGCAACACAGUCUACAGCGUUUGCCUGUACACUUUACUUACGUCAAGAUUUAAAGACGACGGCGGUAUGCUAAUCGGCCUGAUGGAGUGCCUGUGGGGAGCAGGCACGUUGAUGGGAUCAUCCAUAGGCGGGUCUCUCAUUGACCUUUGGGCAUUUCCUCUCCCUUUCUUCGUCAUUGGCGGCGUCCUACUUCUGUCAUUACCCUUCAUGGCACUAAUAAAUCCUAGGAGUUCCAAGCAUGAGUGCCCAACGAACGACAUCGUGCCUCAACAAGAAUGUGUGGAGAAGAAGUACUGGACCCUCAUUUAUGAUCUCAUAUUUAUAGUCAAUCUUGGCACUGUUACAAUAAGUUGGGCUAUGACCAGCUUUAACGAACCAACAUUGGAACCGUUCUUGCGUCAGUUUAACAUGUCAAGCACACAAGUGGGAACGGUAUUCACAGUCCAAUUUGUUGGAUAUUCUAUCGGCGCCUUACUUGGAGGCCUUUUUGCGAAGUUCAAGAUGGAACCAUUCCUGAACUUUUUUGGAAUGCUGCUGUCAACGAUAGGGUACAUCAUACUUGGCCCGAUACCUAUCAUACCAAUUCUGCCAUAUUCAUCGGCCUCGGCAUGGCAGUCACAUAUGUCAGCCCCUACAUGCAUGCUCUCAGACACACUGUUGAGAACGCUGGUUACCCCGACACUGAGAAAACUCACGGUGUAGUGACAAGUGCGACUUACCAAUUCAUGGUUUUUGGUGCCGUGAUAACAUCUCCCGUAGCGGGAUUUGUGACCCAGAAGCUUGGCUUUCCAUUUUCCUCCAUGAUUUUCGCCGGUUUCCUGGCUUUUUGGACCAUCGUGACGGGUGUUGUGUGGUUGCACCUAGAUUACUCACUUUGCGGCAAGAAGCGACCACCGGAGUGUCAAAAGCCUUCUACGACAGACGAGGAGGACAAUGUGCAGGCAGAGCUCUGCUCUUCGUGACGUUGCAGAAAAGUGCAUCUGACAUUCACGCUUGCUCUACAAGCAGCAGUGCUCGUGUUGUGUACAUAAGAAAAACUGGACCCAUGGAACGUCAUGAGUGGUUUCAGAAGGCAGCGACGGCGUUGUGCGUAACAUGUGCUGAAGGGAACGUGAAUAAGCGUUUCUAGUACUAGCAAUUGAGUGAAAUGUUUUAACGCGACGCUGUUUAAAAGCUAAUUGAGCAUAUACUCUGGUAUUGUCGUGGGCGUCACUGGUUGCGAGCGAAAAAUUGCGGAGAUGGCAAAUAAGAUUCAUCGGUUCGAGCCGGAACUGAUUCAAGCAUUUUGCGUGGCAAGCAGGUAUUCGAACACA
This 2055-nucleotide unclassified non-coding RNA is filed under the name Rhipicephalus microplus (southern cattle tick). RNAcentral's name for it is "uncharacterized LOC119175028, transcript variant X1". The record is from RNAcentral. Lineage: Eukaryota; Metazoa; Arthropoda; Arachnida; Ixodida; Ixodidae.